RNAcentral lists this ribosomal RNA (305 nucleotides) under uncultured bacterium. RNAcentral describes it as "bacterial SSU rRNA". It matches the Rfam family "Bacterial small subunit ribosomal RNA", at positions 333 to 655 of the family's 1533-position model. The record is from RNAcentral.
UGGACCCUACGGGGCGCAGCAGUGGGGGAUAUUGCUCAAUGGGGGAAACCCUGAAGCAGCAACGCCGCGUGGAGGAUGAAGGUUUUCGGAUUGUAAACUCCUUUUGUUAGAGAAGAUAAUGACGGUAUCUAACGAGUAAGCACCGGCUAACUCCGUGCCAGCAGCCGCGGUAAUACGGAGGGUGCAAGCGUUACUCGGAAUCACUGGGCGUAAAGAGCACGUAGGCGGGAUAGCAAGUCAGAUGUGAAAUCCUAUGGCUUAACCAUAGAACUGCAUUUGAAACUGUUAUUCUAGAGUAUGGGAGA